GGCGAAGCGGCAGGGGUGGCACUCCAGUCUUCCAAACUGGUGGUGCGGGUUCGAUUCCCGUCAUCCCCU
This 69-nucleotide transfer RNA is filed under the name Amnibacterium kyonggiense. Its description in RNAcentral is "tRNA-Gly". It matches the Rfam family "tRNA". Rfam says of the family: Transfer RNA (tRNA) molecules are approximately 80 nucleotides in length. Their secondary structure includes four short double-helical elements and three loops (D, anti-codon, and T loops). Lineage: Bacteria; Bacillati; Actinomycetota; Actinomycetes; Micrococcales; Microbacteriaceae. The record is from RNAcentral.